This is a long non-coding RNA of Mercurialis annua (annual mercury), 412 nucleotides long. RefSeq lists it as uncharacterized. The transcript has 3 exons. The record is from RefSeq and is a predicted model, not a curated record. Lineage: Eukaryota; Viridiplantae; Streptophyta; Magnoliopsida; Malpighiales; Euphorbiaceae.
CCAUUGUUGUGUGGGUGCCUAAGCUCUCAAAUAAAAAAAUAAAACACAAGUCCUAGAUUUUUAACUUUACUCACAAAAGUUUCUUAACGAAAAACGUUGAGCAUUUUCCGUAGAUCGUUAAUCUAUCUUUGCAUGUUGGAUCAAGAUUCGACAAGUUGUCGAGCUAUCGGGUCGGAGGACCAAGGGAAUUAACGGAGUUGUUUAAAGGAGCAUUGACGGAGUAAUACCGUAGUUAAACGGUUUCUGAUCGUUACCUGUCUUUUUGGAUGAGACUUCACUUUGUUUGCUUCUCGAAGUCCCCUUGUUUGAAUUGUGGUAUUUUGUUCAGUAGCGCUACAAUAGUAGUUAUCCGCAGUAGAUUAGUAUAGUCUCAUUGUAUUCAAAGGUUUUAAAGCGCAUUUAAAACUCUGAU